UGAGGGCAACCAAAAAAAACAAAAAAAACAAUCCAGGCUGACAACAAGUAAGAGCAGGACGCACAAAAGUACAUUUAUAGAAAGGAAGUGUCAAAAACAAAAGGAAGGGAAAGACAACAAGUAGUUUAACUGUCUAGGUGAGCGAGAGAAGAGAAAAGAAAGGAUACAAAGAGAGGAAUAAAGAGAAAGACGGGUGGAUGAAAGGACAGUUUUGGAGGGUCAAAGACACGGGUUCAACUCCGACAAAUUGCUGUGUCCUGAAAUUCCCUGUGAUUUGUGGUUGGAGCCCCAGGAGGUGGAGCCACCCUGAUGUCACCAUUCCUGAGCCCCCUCUCCGGCUAUUUAAUCGGAGAAGGAAAGGCUUGGCUGCUGUUCUCUUUGGAUUUUCUGACUCAUGUUGGUGUCCCUGUCGUAGAUCCAUCUAAGAUGUGCAGCAACCAUGCAGGCCUCGUGAGCCCCACUAGUGAUAGCUUGUGUAACAUCUAUUGUUCCUGUUGGGUGCAUUGUAUUUCAGCCUUUCACCCCAAAGCUCUAAAAUCUACUCUUUGCAUGGGAAAAAGCGCAAAUAGAAAAUAUUCAACAGUACUGUAACCUCAAAAGGAAGGUGCUUACUGCCAGCCACAUGACUAUCAUUGUCUAAUUCCACAUGAAGCCUGAAAACUAUGAGGACUGAUUGAGAUCAUUGAUGUUAAGUAGAAUAC
Long non-coding RNA from Polypterus senegalus (gray bichir), 701 nucleotides. RefSeq lists it as uncharacterized. The record is from RefSeq and is a predicted model, not a curated record. Lineage: Eukaryota; Metazoa; Chordata; Cladistia; Polypteriformes; Polypteridae. The transcript is spliced from 3 exons.